Molecule: ribosomal RNA, 253 nt
Filed under: uncultured bacterium
Lineage: Bacteria
Description: partial 16S ribosomal RNA
Rfam family: Bacterial small subunit ribosomal RNA
Source: RNAcentral
UACGAAGGGGGCUAGCGUUGUUCGGAAUUACUGGGCGUAAAGCGCGCGUAGGCGGACGUUUAAGUCAGGGGUGAAAUCCCAGGGCUCAACCCUGGAACUGCCUUUGAUACUGAAUGUCUGGAGUUCGGGAGAGGUGAGUGGAAUUCCGAGUGUAGAGGUGAAAUUCGUAGAUAUUCGGAAGGACACCAGUGGCGAAGGCGGCUCACUGGACCGGUACUGACGCUGAGACGCGAAAGCGUGGGGAGCAAACAGG